CUUUAGGGCUGAUUUUGCAAUAGCGUGAUGAAUCAAGAUUACUGUUUUAGGGUAAAUUGCAGGCAUUUUUAAAGGAGUCGAAACUUGCUCCAAAUAACUUUUCCAUGGGAUGACCUGCAACUGAAUAACAUUUGUCAUGAACAUCUCAAGUUGAGGGUGUGUCCAAGCCAUCACAGUCUUUCUGAUCCCCACCUGUCAUGGACAGUACCUCCAUUGACCCACAAACAUUCCCUGCAGAAGGCUCUGGUGAAGUCAGCCCUUCUAUUUCACCUGGCAAGGUAAACUUUGUGAACUAGUAUCCGAGAUAAGGUUGUCCUAACACUACCAGCGUAUCAAGGCACUCAACUCCAUUCACCACAGAAGGUAAUGCCUUGUCUGCAGUCACACAGAAAAACCAGUCCAACAAGGCGGCCCUGAACCAGGACACCUCUUCAAACAGUACACAGUGGUGGACAGCGAAAGAGAUUUGAAGUGAUAGCCCUUUUUAGAGGACAGAAAGACCCC
Esox lucius (northern pike) is the source of this 504-nucleotide long non-coding RNA. NCBI's taxonomy places the organism in Eukaryota, Metazoa, Chordata, Actinopteri, Esociformes, Esocidae. The record is from Ensembl.